Molecule: long non-coding RNA, 465 nt
Organism: Magnolia sinica
Lineage: Eukaryota; Viridiplantae; Streptophyta; Magnoliopsida; Magnoliales; Magnoliaceae
Exons: 2
Source: RefSeq, a predicted model, not a curated record
UUGAAAUCUUUGUAAUCUCUCUCAUUUACUUGCAUUCUGAAGUUAUGGGAUUGAGAAUGUAAUGGAGGAUUUAACUGAAAUCUGUGUUGGUUUGUUUUCUAUACGGAUUUAUCUGGUAACUUGCUAUAUGGAGAUAUUUCGUUCUCGACAUCUAGGCUCAAACAGCUCGAGGAAUUGACAUUGAAGAACAAUCAGUUAACAUGGCCUAUCCCUUCAACCCUUUCACAGAUGCCAAUUCUCAAAACUUUGUAAUGUUGCUGUCACUUAUAUUUGAGGUGCUUGUUCUAUUUUGUGGUUUAUGCUUUCUAAUAUCUACUUGAAAACAUUGAAUUAUUUUUUUUCCCCUUCUCAUUUGGGUUUUCUCAGUUACACAUUUGCAUUGGGGGUUUGCCUGAUAGAACAUAACUAAACUACAAUUGUUUGUUUCCAAUGGUGUGGAUUUGUGUGUACAAAGUGAUUUUAAUG